Molecule: long non-coding RNA, 234 nt
Filed under: Carassius auratus (goldfish)
Lineage: Eukaryota; Metazoa; Chordata; Actinopteri; Cypriniformes; Cyprinidae
Description: lncRNA (ENSCARG00000014729.1)
Source: RNAcentral
CUGCUCCAGCAGAUAGACACCAGCAGCACAUAACUCUCUGAUCACCUCACUGAUGAGAUACAGACACUGGCGUUUGAAGAGAGGCAGUUAACAGCAGGAAGCCCAGGAUCCAUCCUGAUGUCUCCCCUCUCUCAGUACCCCCUGCCGAGCCAUAAAGACUGUCUGGUCCAUUACACCCUUAGCCACUGUGUCUCGGGGCAGGACUGGUUAAUGUUGAUGAUCAAGGAGUGUUGA